GACGAACGCUGGCGGCGUGCUUAACACAUGCAAGUCGAACGGUGAAGCUCCAGCUUGCUGGAGUGGAUCAGUGGCGAACGGGUGAGUAACACGUGAGCAACCUGCCCCUGACUCUGGAAUAAGCGCUGGAAACGGCGUCUAAUACUGGAUACGAGAAGGGUCCGCAUGGGCACUUUCUGGAAAGUUUUUCGGUUGGGGAUGGGCUCGCGGCCUAUCAGCUUGUUGGUGAGGUAAUGGCUCACCAAGGCGACGACGGGUAGCCGGCCUGAGAGGGCGACCGGCCACACUGGGACUGAGACACGGCCCAGACUCCUACGGGAGGCAGCAGUGGGGAAUAUUGCACAAUGGGCGAAAGCCUGAUGCAGCGACGCCGCGUGAGGGAUGACGGCCUUCGGGUUGUAAACCUCUUUCAGCAGGGAAGAAGCGAAAGGGACGGUACCUGCAGAAGAAGCACCGGCGAACUACGU
This 467-nucleotide ribosomal RNA is filed under the name uncultured bacterium. RNAcentral describes it as "partial 16S ribosomal RNA". It matches the Rfam family "Bacterial small subunit ribosomal RNA", at positions 28 to 506 of the family's 1533-position model. The record is from RNAcentral.